CCCUAUGGGGCAGUUGGACUCCGUCCUAUACGGUUGCUAUGAGUUGGAAUCGACUCGAUGGCAAUGGGGAUGACUUUGUAAAUAUUAAAGCGUAUUUGUGUGUGUGAUAGCUCCACAAUCCUACCCCCACAGGAACUGAGAAGUAACAAGGAGGAUGCGGUAGGGUUUUAGACUCCAGGAAGUAGAUAGCAUCGUACAUGCUUAGUGGAAUUUAUCUGCCAUCUUGCUGUGUUACCCAGUGUCGAAGAUGUGGUUAUGUCCUGUGGUUAAACUUCCAUUAUGCUCUUCACGAGGGCUGUUGGACAACUGGAUUUCUUCUUAACCAAGCAGUGAAAGGACAGUUACCAAAAAUCAGCAUUGUGUAUUGCCAAAAAAGCAAGUCAUUUCGUGAAACGAGAAAUGGAGACUUGGAGUCUACAUCUGUUAAGUGGAUACAAAUGUUAUACUAAUUUUUAACCUAUAGACAAUCCUAAAAAGUCAAAUGAUUCUCCAGUUCAUAAGUGUUUCAAGGCCAAAAUAAUGAAUUUUAAAAUUAAAACAGAUUUGAAAAAAUAUUUAAAUAAUAUAAAAACCAAAUGAUAUUAUAUCUAGUGCUGGGAGAAAAGCAUCUUGAAUGGCUGAAAUGAAGAUGUGGAUACACAGUAAUCCCUGUCAGGAAAAGGAUUUCAACAUGUGCCCAGUGGUGUAAGGCAUUGCCUUGACUUUAGCCUACCAGUUACAUUUGCUUAAAUGCGAAGAAUAUUAUGUAGAAAGGGAAACACGUAUGCACAGUAAUGUUCAGCUUUUCACGUCCUUUGGACUGGCUUUACCCCUUCCAACUCUUCUUUCUACCUCCUUUGCUACAGUAUAAGUGCUCCUUUUUUUCUCUGUCUGUCUUCUUUUAACUUUGAUGUAUUUUUUGACUCAUCGGCAUCUCUUAUAUUCGUCAACAUGGUAUGAUAGCGUUUAGCUUCAGUGAACAAAGCAGUAAUGUCUCUAAAGAUCAACUGCAAAUGAUUUAUUUCACUUCUCUGCCACUAACUACACUGAAGGAAUUCAAGUCCAGUUCAGCUUCACUUGCAGCACUUCUUCUCUGACCUUUCCCACCAGAGAGAGCUAGGUCAGCGCCCACAAGUCAAAGGGCACAGUCCUCAGACUGCUGAGUCUGCCCAAGAAGUCAGAUGGCAGCCUCAGGCUUGGGGUACCCCACAACACCCUAACUUCUGACCUGCUGGCUGCAAAUUUGGGGUUUUCCCACUACCCCUUCAGGAUGCCAGCCAUAAGCUUGGGGUCCCCAGGGCCCCCUCACUUUUGACCCACUGGCUCCUACUACUUCCUUAGGUUCGGUGAUUCACUAGAAGGACCCACCAAACUCAGGAAAGUGCUAUACUUACAAUUACAGUUUUAUUAUAGCAAAAAGGAUACAAGUGAAGAGACGCAUAGGGCAAGGUCUAGGAUUCCCGGCAUGAAGCUUCCACGUCCCGGAAGGGACACACUACCUCCCACGUGCAUCAAUGUCUGUCACCAACCAGGAAGCCCAGAGAACUUAUGUGUCCAAAGCCUUUAUUGGGUCCUCAUUACAUAGGCAUGACUGACUGAAUCAGCCCCCUCCCCUGAAACUGGCUAAUAUGUGGUGGGUCUUUCUGGCCUGGCCAGUACAAGAGGCACCUUGUAGCAUAAACCACCAAAUGUGAUCUGGAGGCCUCAUCAAAGACACUUCAACCAGUGGGGAAAUUACAAAGGUUUAGAGGUUAUCUCUCAGAAACAAAGGACAAAGACCAAAUUCUUUGGAUAGAGUUCAUCGUAAAUCCCACAAUGUCCAACUUAGAAUGGCAUUCUUUAAAAUGUGAACCCUCUUAAUUUAGUGCGUCUACAGAUAUCACUCUGUGAGUUCCCAGAAGGUUUGCUUGUUCUCUGCAGAUCCGGCAAAUAGUGAGAAGGAGCCCUUCUGCCAGUUGCUCCACAGCUCUGUCCUCUACAGCCAAGCUCCCUGCCAGCCUGCAGCUGCAGAAGUGUCACUUGGAUACUACAGCCUCAUCCUGAAUCGGGUGCAGGCUCUGCUUCACACAGUCUCCUCCCAGGGACCUAGGCUGAAAGCCACCACCCUCGGGAACAUCCCCUGUCACUGUGCUGGGAAGACAGCAUGCCAAGCUCUACACUGAUUCUUAAAGACUUUUGACCAGAAGUUUAUUCAAGAUGGAGGAGCUGAAGCUUAACAAGAUUAAGUAGUUUGCCAAAGUCUACGGUGAGUAAGAGCAUUUACACAGGAAGUCCUUAUAAGGAGUUGCCUGCCAGCUGCCCUUCCCCAGACCCAGAAUGCACUCCUAGCCAGGUGAACAGAACAGUCAUUCUGCUGGGUCAUGCUGAGCUCAUACCCUGUAAGUCUGACCACACUCCACAGAUCUGGGUUUGUCUGAAACCAGCCCCAAUCACAGCCAUGUCUGUCCCUAAUCCCAUGAGGGGCCCAUUUAGAGACUGAGCCCAUCAGGCUAC
This is a long non-coding RNA of Trichechus manatus latirostris (Florida manatee), 2472 nucleotides long. RefSeq lists it as uncharacterized. The transcript is spliced from 3 exons. NCBI's taxonomy places the organism in Eukaryota, Metazoa, Chordata, Mammalia, Sirenia, Trichechidae. The record is from RefSeq and is a predicted model, not a curated record.